AUUGAACGCUGGCGGCGCGCCUAACACAUGCAAGUCGAACGGGGUUGUUACUCACACCGAGAUCACAGGGAUGUGAUUUGGGUGUGGGUAACAACCUAGUGGCGGACGGGUGAGUAACACGUGAGCAACCUGCCUUUCAGAGGGGGAUAACGUUGGGAAACUAACGCUAAUACCGCAUAACAUAUUGGAGCCGCAUGGUUUUGAUAUCAAAGGUGCAAUCCGCUGAGAGAUGGGCUCGCGCCCGAUUAGGUAGUUGGUGGGGUAAAGGCCUACCAAGCCGACGAUCGGUAGCCGGACUGAGAGGUUGAUCGGCCACAUUGGGACUGAGACACGGCCCAGACUCCUACGGGAGGCAGCAGUGGGGGAUAUUGCACAAUGGGGGAAACCCUGAUGCAGCGACGCCGCGUGAGUGAAGACGGUCUUCGGAUUGUAAAGCUCUGUCUUCGGGGACGAAAAUGACGGUACCCGAGGAGGAAGUCACGGCUAACUACGUGCCAGCAGCCGCAGUAACAC
RNAcentral lists this ribosomal RNA (513 nucleotides) under uncultured bacterium. RNAcentral describes it as "bacterial SSU rRNA". It matches the Rfam family "Bacterial small subunit ribosomal RNA", at positions 30 to 526 of the family's 1533-position model. The record is from RNAcentral.